GUGCUGUGGACUCUGAAGACAUCUCCGGUAGGGAAGACAGCUGCACUGAUGACAGACUUUAGCCAGCUCCCCACCUCACCCUCAUGUAUUUUACUCUUUCUCUCUCUCUCUCUCCCUCUCUCUCUCUCUCUCUCUCUCCCUCACUUUCUUUCUUUGAGAUGAGGUCUUGCAAUGUAGUUCAGACUGGACAUGAACUUACUAUGUACCCCAGGCUGAUUGCCAACUCAUUACAAUCCUCCUGCCUCAGCUUCCUGAAUGCCAAGAUUACAAGCAUGAGCCACCACACGACUUUUUCCUUUGUCUUAUUUUUGCUGUUGUUGUACUCUUCUUUCAUCCUGAUCCUCUCUCAUUGCCCCUCACUGUUGCUUCUCCGGAAUGUAACCCCAAUUGCACAAGAAAGAAUAACGAGGAUUGACCAAAUUAAAAAAAACUUCUGCACAUGAUAGGAAUCAAUUAGUAAACUGAAGAAACAACCUACAGAAUGGGAAAAUACUUUUUCCAACUAUUCAUCAGACAGAGGACUAAUAUCUAGAAUGUAUAAAGAACUCAAAAGAAAAGAAAUUUAAAGACCCAGCCAAGAAAUGGGCAAGUGUAAUUUACAGAUACAUCUCAGAAGAAGCACAAAUGGUCAACAAAUGUAUGAAAAAAUGCUCAACAUCUCUGACCAUUAGAGAAAUACAAAUAAAACAACAGUAAGAUUCCACCUUCCACCAUAAAGAAUGCUAUUGUCAAGAAGUCAGAGAAUAACAAAUGCUGGCUUGGCUGUGGUAAACAAUAAUAAUAAUAAUAAUAAAUAAAAGAAAAAGAAAGGAACCCUCCUACAAUGUUGGUGGAAAUGCAAAUUAGUACUCCAGUAUGGAAAUCAGUAUGGAGAUUUCUCAAAGAACUAAAACUAAAAAUUCUGUAUGACCCAGCUAUUCCCCUUCUAGAUAUCUUCCUCAAAGAGCUAAAGACAUCAUAUUACAAGGAUACAUGCAUCCACACCCAUGUUUAUAGCAGCACAAUCCAUUAUACCUAAAAACUGGACACAGUCUGUGUGCUGAUCAACUGAUGAAUGGAUAAAGCAAACGUGGUAUCUACACAUAGUGGAAUACUACUUCAUUGUAAGGAAGGAUACAUUUAAGACAUUUUUAGAAAAAUGGAUGGACCUGGAUAAUAUAAUGUUUUGUGAAUAAAUCAGACACACAAGCUUCAAUACCAUAUGGUAUCUCUCAUCUGAGUAAAGCAAAGAACAAAUAAAGAGAGUAGAAAAGAACAGGUAGAAGGAAACAAGGGGCAAGACUUCUUGGAAAUAGGAAUGAGUCCAGGAGACCAAGGGCUAGGGGAGAGGAGGAAGAAAAGGGGAAAGUAAGUGGAAUUAAGAUACACCAUGUACAGGAACCUAAUAACCUCCAUGAGUACACGUACCCACUUCCAAGACAAAUGGAAUCAUCAUUCAUUGAAGCAGUACUUCAAACAUGUACUAAUGAAAGUAAAACAAAAACAAAAAA
Molecule: long non-coding RNA, 1490 nt
Filed under: Heterocephalus glaber (naked mole-rat)
Lineage: Eukaryota; Metazoa; Chordata; Mammalia; Rodentia; Bathyergidae
Description: lncRNA (ENSHGLG00000033707.1)
Source: RNAcentral